Molecule: unclassified non-coding RNA, 215 nt
Filed under: Ectophoma multirostrata
Lineage: Eukaryota; Fungi; Ascomycota; Dothideomycetes; Pleosporales; Didymellaceae
Description: partial internal transcribed spacer region
Rfam family: Eukaryotic small subunit ribosomal RNA (bases 1-46)
Source: RNAcentral
AAGUCGUAACAAGGUUUCCGUAGGUGAACCUGCGGAAGGAUCAUUACCUAGAGUUGUAGGCUUUGCCUGCUAUCUCUUACCCAUGUCUUUUGAGUACCUUCGUUUCCUCGGCGGGUCCGCCCGCCGAUUGGACACAUUUAAACCCUUUGUAGUUGCAAUCAGCGUCUGAAAAACUUUAAUAGUUACAACUUUCAACAACGGAUCUCUUGGUUCUG